CACACCGUAAACGGUGGGCGCUAGGUGUGGGACUCAUUCCACGAGUUCCGUGCCGCAGCUAACGCAUUAAGCGCCCCGCCUGGGGAGUACGGCCGCAAGGCUAAAACUCAAAGGAAUUGACGGGGGCCCGCACAAGCGGCGGAGCAUGCGGAUUAAUUCGAUGCAACGCGAAGAACCUUACCUAGGUUUGACAUAUACCGGAAAGCUCUAGAGAUAGAGCCCCUUUUGUCGGUAUACAGGUGG
Molecule: ribosomal RNA, 243 nt
Filed under: uncultured Actinomycetales bacterium
Lineage: Bacteria; Bacillati; Actinomycetota; Actinomycetes; Actinomycetales
Description: partial 16S ribosomal RNA
Rfam family: Bacterial small subunit ribosomal RNA
Source: RNAcentral